Molecule: ribosomal RNA, 239 nt
Filed under: uncultured bacterium
Lineage: Bacteria
Description: partial 16S ribosomal RNA
Rfam family: Bacterial small subunit ribosomal RNA
Source: RNAcentral
CGUGAGCAAUCUGCCUUGGAGUGGGGAAUAACGGCUGGAAACAGCCGCUAAUACCGCAUGACGCGUCUGGGAGGCAUCUCUCUGGACGCCAAAGAUUUAUCGCUCUGAGAUGAGCUCGCGUCUGAUUAGCUAGUUGGCGGGGUAACGGCCCACCAAGGCGACGAUCAGUAGCCGGACUGAGAGGUUGGCCGGCCACAUUGGGACUGAGACACGGCCCAGACUCCUACGGGAGGCAGCAG